UUAGAUUAGUAUAAAUAGGGAUAGAUAGUUUCAUUUGUAAUCAAUUCCAUUGUACAAAAUUCUCAGUUUAUAUAUUCAAGUUAUUCGAUUGUCUAGAGAUCAAAGAUCCAUUAGGGCCAACACUAAUCUCAUCUCAUGAAUGCGAAUUUUAAUAUCUGAGUCAAUGUUGCAGUUCAAGCGUCAUGCGUUUAUGUUGGUUCUUCAACUCAUAUUCGUGUAAUCAAUCUGCUUUCAUUCAGAUUCAAUGUAACAAUCAAGUCUAGAAAGGUUUUUAGUUUAAUGUUAUAUGUUAUAUAUUGAAUUAGGGUUUCAUUAGCAUUUCAGAAGCAGUACAGAGGAGACGAGAUGAAGCCGAACAAAUAUACAUCUUCCGCCAUCACCACCGAUCCACCGCCUCCAUCGUCUUCUACAAUCGUUUCAUCCGUUAUAUUGAUAGUGUUGGAGUUGGUGGAGAAAUUCCUUCUACAUAUGCUAAUACAACAAAUUUGGUCUGUGUAAGAACAUUUAUUUUGAUGAUGUUUCAAAGUAAUUAAGCUUGUGGUUAAUAUGCCUAGGUUGAAUUGGUGAGUGGGAUUUUCAUUUAGCGGCUAAUUGAAAUGAAAUCAAGGAAACUAUAUAAGUCUUUAAUUCAUGUUGACUAAAAAUUUGUUUUCUUUCUUAUUUGCUCUCAACUUGGUCUGACUUGUUCAUCUUGAACUUGACUCGGUGCGAGUCAAUUCAUGUGACUCACAAGGUCCCGGUUGGGGAUUCUUCCUUAAACUUGUUCAGUUGGUUGAGAAGGAUGCGGAAAGGGUGAUGCUGUUGUUUUGGGCAACCAUUAAUGCUGGAGGUCGAGUUGAUAGCGCGCUGAAGGAUCUGGCGAUUGUUAUGAAACAACAUAAUGGGGCCGAAGAAGCAAUUGAAGCGAUUAAUUCUUUGCUUAAAGAAAAAAAACAUGUUUUUUCCGGUAAAACCCAAGACCCUAAACCCUAUAUCAUUAUGAGAUUAAGGUGUGGAAGAUUGGAUAAUCAGAUUCGACUAUUGUGGCAUAAACUGUUCAUGAUACAACAAGGGACGGCUUUCAAUGGGAAGCGAACUAAAACCGCAAGAUCUUAAGGGAAGAAGCUUCAAGUUUCGGCUGAGCAGGAGGUGACUUGGCUGAUGGUAAGAACUAACAACAACCAUGGUGGAUUUUGUAAUAGAUAUGGGAUUUUGAUUUUAAAAUUUGUUUUAAGAUAUAUUUUCUUCAGACAUGAGGUCUGAAGUGGCUACCCAAGUUUAUUGCACUUUUCAAGGCAUUAAAAUGGAAAUAGUUCUUUCAAUGGUACGACUGGUCUAAAUUUGCUCCUGGAAAACACAAUCAUUGUUGGUUUACUGAUCUAACAUAACAUUGACUUUCUGGCCUUUUAUGUUAAUGUUAAAGGACUGGGUCAAACCUGUUCUCAAUUAUACAAGUUCUGUGUGGGCCUUGGCUGUGAGUUCUACAAGCAUUGCUGUGCUUGUAUGGGUUGGGGAGGGAGUACACAAUGAGCUUUUAAAAGUAUGGUCAUACCUGUGGAUUGGACUAAGAUGGCAUUGGGUUCAAGUGUUAGAUGUCCAGCAUGAUGGAGGUGUAAGUAUGGGCUCAAGAAUGUGAUGCAUCAUUGCAUUGGGCAAGAGAUGGAUCACCUUGUAUAUGGCAUGGGUAGAUUGAUUCUUAAGACUCUAAUAGGCAUCGUGGACUAUGAGCUUGCUAUUGGCCUUUACUCUUUCUAGGAUGUUUGUUUUCAAAAGUUGUAAAAAGUAUUAGUUGGUUUAUAAACUCAUUAUAAUUGUAAAUAUAUUACUACUUUAAAUACCUUAGGUUGAUGUUGGGUUUGGAGUUG
Helianthus annuus (common sunflower) is the source of this 1844-nucleotide long non-coding RNA. RefSeq lists it as uncharacterized. The record is from RefSeq and is a predicted model, not a curated record. NCBI's taxonomy places the organism in Eukaryota, Viridiplantae, Streptophyta, Magnoliopsida, Asterales, Asteraceae. The transcript is spliced from 3 exons.